GACGAACGCUGGCGGCGCGCCUAACACAUGCAAGUCGAACGGUGACGAGGACUUCGGUUCUCUGAUCAGUGGCGGACGGGUGAGUAACACGUGAGCAACCUGGCUCUAAGAGGGGGACAACAGUUGGAAACGACUGCUAAUACCGCAUAAUGCAUUUAGGGGGCAUCCCUUGAAUGCCAAAGCUUUAUGUGCUGAAAGAUGGUCUCGCGUCUGAUUAGCUAGAUGGCGGGGUAACGGCCCACCAUGGCGACGAUCAGUAGCCGGUCUGAGAGGAUGAACGGCCACAUUGGGACUGAGAUACGGCCCAGACUCCUACGGGAGGCAGCAGUGGGGAAUAUUGGGCAAUGGGGGAAACCCUGACCCAGCAACGCCGCGUGAAGGAAGAAGGCCU
Molecule: ribosomal RNA, 391 nt
Filed under: uncultured bacterium
Lineage: Bacteria
Description: bacterial SSU rRNA
Rfam family: Bacterial small subunit ribosomal RNA
Source: RNAcentral